AUCUGCUGUUGAAACCGUUUACAGUCCGAUCUCCUCUGAGCUCUGAAGCGAAGCUGGUUCGGGCCUGCACAGUACUGGAUGGGAGACCAACGGGGAUAACAGGUGCAGUCCCGAUU
RNAcentral lists this ribosomal RNA (116 nucleotides) under Amphilophus citrinellus (Midas cichlid). The record is from RNAcentral. Lineage: Eukaryota; Metazoa; Chordata; Actinopteri; Cichliformes; Cichlidae.